UGGGGAAUAUUGCGCAAUGGACGAAAGUCUGACGCAGCGACGCCGCGUGAGGGAUGAAGGCCUUCGGGUUGUAAACCUCUGUCAGGAGGGAAGAACCGCCAUGGUAGUAACUGCCCAUGGUCUGACGGUACCUCCAAAGGAAGCACCGGCUAACUCCGUGCCAGCAGCCGCGGUAAUACGGCGGGUGCAAGCGUUAAUCGGAAUCACUGGGCGUAAAGCGCGCGUAGGCGGCUUUGUAAGUCCGAGGGGAAAGCCCACGGCUCAACCGUGGAACUGCCUUUGAGACUGCAAGGCUACGAGUUUGUGAGAGGAUAGUGGAAUUCCUGGUGUAGGAGUGAAAGCCGUAGAGAUCAGGAGGAACAUCAGUGGCGAAGGCGACUGUCUGGCACAACACUGACGCUGAGGUGCGAAAGCGUGGGUAUCAAACA
This 428-nucleotide ribosomal RNA is filed under the name uncultured prokaryote. RNAcentral's name for it is "bacterial SSU rRNA". It matches the Rfam family "Bacterial small subunit ribosomal RNA", at positions 355 to 774 of the family's 1533-position model. The record is from RNAcentral.